This 549-nucleotide ribosomal RNA is filed under the name Aspergillus niger. RNAcentral describes it as "eukaryotic LSU rRNA". The stretch from base 192 to 345 matches the Rfam family "5.8S ribosomal RNA". Lineage: Eukaryota; Fungi; Ascomycota; Eurotiomycetes; Eurotiales; Aspergillaceae. The record is from RNAcentral.
CAUUACCGAGUGCGGGUCCUUUGGGCCCAACCUCCCAUCCGUGUCUAUUGUACCCUGUUGCUUCGGCGGGCCCGCCGCUUGUCGGCCGCCGGGGGGGCGCCUCUGCCCCCCGGGCCCGUGCCCGCCGGAGACCCCAACACGAACACUGUCUGAAAGCGUGCAGUCUGAGUUGAUUGAAUGCAAUCAGUUAAAACUUUCAACAAUGGAUCUCUUGGUUCCGGCAUCGAUGAAGAACGCAGCGAAAUGCAAUAACUAAUGUGAAUUGCAGAAUUCAGUGAAUCAUCGAGUCUUUGAACGCACAUUGCGCCCCCUGGUAUUCCGGGGGGCAUGCCUGUCCGAGCGUCAUUGCUGCCCUCAAGCCCGGCUUGUGUGUUGGGUCGCCGUCCCCCUCUCCGGGGGGACGGGCCCGAAAGGCAGCGGCGGCACCGCGUCCGAUCCUCGAGCGUAUGGGGCUUUGUCACAUGCUCUGUAGGAUUGGCCGGCGCCUGCCGACGUUUUCCAACCAUUCUUUCCAGGUUGACCUCGGAUCAGGUAGGGAUACCCGCUGAA